Molecule: ribosomal RNA, 876 nt
Filed under: uncultured bacterium
Lineage: Bacteria
Description: bacterial SSU rRNA
Rfam family: Bacterial small subunit ribosomal RNA
Source: RNAcentral
GCACGGCUGAGGAACACGUGACUAACCUACCCCGGUGUGGGGGAUAACGGGUCGAAAGACUCGCUAAUCCCGCAUACGAUCCGCCUCGGCGGAGGAAAGCCGUAAGGCGCACUGGGCGGGGGUCGCGUCCCAUUAGAUAGUUGGUGUGGUAAUGGCGCACCAAGUCGAUGAUGGGUCUCUGGUCUGAGAGGACGACCAGACAGACUGGGACUGAGACACGGCCCAAACUCCUACGGGGGGCAGCAGCAAGGAAUUUUCGGCAAUGGGCGCAAGCCUGACCGAGCAACGCCGCGUGGAGGAUGACGGCUCUUGGGUUGUAAACUCCUUUUGGGGGGGACGAUAAUGACGGUACCCUCCGAAUCAGGCCCGGCUAACUACGUGCCAGCAGCCGCGGUAAUACGUAGGGGCCAAGCGUUGUCCGGAAUUACUGGGCGUAAAGCGUGGGUAGGUGGUCGGUGAUGUGCCGCGUGAAAGCGCCGGAGUAAUGCCGGCGAGGUCGCGGUAGACACACGGACUCGAGGCUCGCAGAGGAACGUGGAAUUCCCGGUGUAGUGGUGAAAUGCGUAGAUAUCGGGAGGAACACCAGUGGCGCAAGCGGCGUUCUGGGCGAGACCUGACACUGAGCCACGACGGCGUGGGGAGCAAACAGGAUUAGAUACCCUGGUAGUCCACGCAGUAAACGAUGCAUACCAGGUGUGGGAUGGCGUUCGCGUCGUUCCGUGCCGCAGCUUACGCGAUGAGUAUGCCGCCUGGGGACUACGAGCGCAAGCUUAAAACUCAAAGGAAUUGACGGGGGCCCGCACAAGCAGCGGAGCGUGUGGUUUAAUUCGACGNCACGCGAAGAACCUUACCUAGUCUUGACAUACAGCUGCAAGC